Molecule: ribosomal RNA, 512 nt
Filed under: uncultured bacterium
Lineage: Bacteria
Description: partial 16S ribosomal RNA
Rfam family: Bacterial small subunit ribosomal RNA
Source: RNAcentral
GGCGAACGCUGGCGGCGUGCCUAAUACAUGCAAGUCGAGCGGAUGGAAGGAAGCUUGCUUCCUAAAGUCAGCGGCGGACGGGUGAGUAACACGUGGGCAACCUGCCCCUAAGAUCGGGAUAACUUCGGGAAACCGGAGCUAAUACCGGAUAUGAUUAUGUCUCACAUGAGACAUAAUGGAAAGACGGUUUCGGCUGUCACUUAGGGAUGGGCCCGCGGCGCAUUAGCUAGUUGGUGAGGUAACGGCUCACCAAGGCGACGAUGCGUAGCCGACCUGAGAGGGUGAUCGGCCACACUGGGACUGAGACACGGCCCAGACUCCUACGGGAGGCAGCAGUAGGGAAUCUUCCGCAAUGGACGAAAGUCUGACGGAGCAACGCCGCGUGAGUGAAGAAGGUUUUCGGAUCGUAAAACUCUGUUGUUAGGGAAGAACAAGUACCAUAGUAACUGAUGGUACCUUGACGGUACCUAACCAGAAAGCCACGGCUAACUACGUGCCAGCAGCCGCCGUAA